RNAcentral lists this ribosomal RNA (460 nucleotides) under uncultured bacterium. Its description in RNAcentral is "partial 16S ribosomal RNA". It matches the Rfam family "Bacterial small subunit ribosomal RNA", at positions 338 to 795 of the family's 1533-position model. The record is from RNAcentral.
CCUACGGGAGUCUGCAGUGAGGAAUAUUGGUCAAUGGGCUUACGCCUGAACCAGCCAAGUCGCGUGAGGGAAGACUGCCCUAUGGGUUGUAAACCUCUUUUGUCAGGGAGCAACGCCGGCUACGUGUAGCCGGACUGAGAGUACCUGCAGAAAAAGCAUCGGCUAACUCCGUGCCAGCAGCCGCGGUAAUACGGAGGAUGCGAGCGUUAUCCGGAUUUAUUGGGUUUAAAGGGUGCGUAGGCGGAAUGCCAAGUCAGCGGUAAAAUCGCGGGGCUCAACCUCGCUCCGCCGUUGAAACUGGCGGUCUUGAGUGGGCGAGAAGUAUGCGGAAUGCGUGGUGUAGCGGUGAAAUGCAUAGAUAUCACGCAGAACUCCGAUUGCGAAGGCAGCAUACCGGCGCCCAACUGACGCUGAAGCACGAAAGCGUGGGUAUCGAACAGGAUUAGAUACCCCAGUAGUC